Long non-coding RNA from Dama dama (fallow deer), 1438 nucleotides. RefSeq lists it as uncharacterized. The transcript has 5 exons. Lineage: Eukaryota; Metazoa; Chordata; Mammalia; Artiodactyla; Cervidae. The record is from RefSeq and is a predicted model, not a curated record.
CAGGCGGUGAAGCAUCUGCCCACAAUGCAGGAGACCUGGGUUCGAUCCCUGGGUUGGGAAGAUCCCUUGGAGAAGGAAAUGACAACCCACUCCAGUACUCUUGCCUGGAAAAUCCCAUGGACGGAGGAGCCUGAUCUCAUCAGAAAAUUGAAGACUCAGAAGAGAGCAGUGAUGAAAUUCUUGCUUGUCUAAUUUCUGCGGUUUCUCCAAGAACGGAUUCAGGCCAUCUCUCGAGAUCAGGUCAAGACCAUUCUUCUUCUCGAGAGCCUCACCCCAAGCUCAGAAAAAGAAGACCCUGGGCCCUAGGGUGAUCCUCCAUUCCAGACCCAAAACCAUCGCCCCUAUCCAGAAAGAAGUAGCCAGAGAGAUACAGUGCUCUUUUCCCCAUUCUUUAAUGAUUUCAGGGUCUGGAAUGAAGGAGUCUUUGGGCCUAGAAAAGAAAGCAACAGUCUCAAAGGUCCUUGCUGAAUCAUCUAACUUCUGAGAAAACAAAACUGAACUUUAGGUCCCACCCUGAUGCUCCAGGCCAGUUUUAUCUAUCUGGAACUUAUCACUCCCUGUCCAGAAAACUUUCCACCCCCUACACCUGCCCAGAAGACUUAUCACCCCCUGCCCAACUACAAUGCCAUCUCAACUAAAGAAUACCCAAAAUAUCCCGCCUGAUUAACGUUUCCCUUAUUGUUUCCAAAAACCUCCUUAUAAAUAUGGAGCCUCGCUGAUCCCUCUUGGAGCUCAGCCUAGUCGUUAGGCCGACUGUCGCCCCUCCUUGCCUGAAUAAAGGUAGCCAGGGGACUGGCCACUCCGGAGGCAUGCUCCUGUGAGGUCUGAGAGCACCCCUCAAGGGGAGAACUGCAUCGAACUCAUGGUUGAGAUGACUGAGCUGAGCAAGACCGAGGAAGACCUUCAGGACCCAGGCGAGGCCCUGGGCCCGGUAGAGGCACAGCUAUUGGGGGCUGAGGCAGGAGAGGCUGCAUCCCCCUCAGCCUUGUCCCCUCAGUCUCCUGCUCCACCCUUGUGGAGGCCUUGCCCCAGGAAGCUCUUAAUGCGAUGGUGGCAGGAACCUGAUGAAGUUCCGGCUCCUCAAGUAUCGAGCCAAGGAGCUGACCUCCCAGGCGGAAAUGCUGAAGAAGGUCCUCAGGGAUAACCAGGAGCAUUUCCCGGUGGUCUUCAGCCAAGCCUCAAAGUGCCUGCAGCUGGUCUGUGGCAUGAAGGUGAAGGAGGUGGACCCCACAGAGCACAUCUACAUCAUGGUCCCCACCCUGGGCCUCACCUGCAAUGCGAUGCAGAGAGGUGGGCAGGGCCUGCCCAAGGCCAGCCUCCUGGUGCUGGUCCUCAGCCUGAUCAUGUGGUAUGGAGACCAUGCACCUGAGGGGGAGGUCUGGGAGCACUCAGAAAAUGGGGAUGUUUGUCAGGAGGGAGCACUGUGUCUUUGGGGAGC